Molecule: ribosomal RNA, 253 nt
Filed under: uncultured bacterium
Lineage: Bacteria
Description: partial 16S ribosomal RNA
Rfam family: Bacterial small subunit ribosomal RNA
Source: RNAcentral
UACGAAGGGUGCAAGCGUUACUCGGAAUUACUGGGCGUAAAGCGUGCGUAGGUGGUUUGUUAAGUCUGUUGUGAAAGCCCCGGGCUCAACCUGGGAAUGGCAAUGGAUACUGGCAGGCUAGAGUGCGGUAGAGGGUAGUGGAAUUCCCGGUGUAGCGGUGAAAUGCGUAGAGAUCGGGAGGAACACCAGUGGCGAAGGCGGGUCUCUGGGCAUUACCUGACGCUGAGGAGCGAAAGUGUGGGGAGCGAACAGG